RNAcentral lists this ribosomal RNA (375 nucleotides) under uncultured eukaryote. RNAcentral describes it as "SSU rRNA". It matches the Rfam family "Eukaryotic small subunit ribosomal RNA", at positions 587 to 972 of the family's 1831-position model. The record is from RNAcentral.
AGCUCCAAUAGCGUAUAUUAAAGUUGUUGCAGUUAAAAGCUCGUAGUUGGAUUUCUGGGAGGGCGCCAAUGUCCGUUCUGAAACGUGUUGCAGCGGCGCCCUUCCAUCCUUCUGUUAACGCCUCUCGGUAUUCAUUUGCUGGUGGCGGGCUCAGAUAUUUUACCUUGAGAAAAUUAGAGUGUUUCAGGCAGGCUAAUGCUGGAAUAUAUUAGCAUGGAAUAAUGGAAUAGGACUACGGUCUCUUUGUUGGUUUGAGGGACAGCAGUAAUGAUUAAUAGGGAUAGUUGGGGGCAUUAGUAUUCGACUGUCAGAGGUGGAAUUCUCAGAUUUGUUGAAGACUAACUUAUGCGAAAGCAUUUGCCAAGGAUGUUUUCA